Molecule: long non-coding RNA, 1111 nt
Organism: Sorghum bicolor (sorghum)
Lineage: Eukaryota; Viridiplantae; Streptophyta; Magnoliopsida; Poales; Poaceae
Exons: 4
Source: RefSeq, a predicted model, not a curated record
ACCUCACGCACGCUCGAGCCGGCACGCUUGUCUCCAAUCGACUCGUCUUCUACGGUUCUACCUCCCUCUCCGUCACUCCCUCUCUCUUGUCCCCGGCGCCCGGCAAGGUCGUCCCUGGCGACGGCCUCCUCCCCGUGCCCGUGUCUGCGCCCCACCUCCUCCCGAUGCGGCUUUUUCUUCUCUCCGGCGAGCAUAGAGUUCCGACGAGCUCCUUAGGGUUCCGGCGUGGCGGCCAUGGCAGAUCCCGCAGCAGAUCCACAUCAGCAAGAAGCCAGAGCUGUUCGAGCCUCUGAAGGCCGACAAUCUCCCAAGGUUCCAAGUUAUCUAGCAGGGGAAGAUCAAGUACAAAGCACAAAGCAUGUAUGAUGUGCGCAAUAUGUAAAUAAGUACAUAUGUGGAUGUUGGCCAUGUUGUAUAGAGAAGCUGCUCAAAUGUGGGCUUUCCUAGGGACUAGAUGUACUGUUGUGCUUGCAGAUGCAAAUGUAUUCUUUUUGAGAUAGACAGCUUACUACGUGUUUUCUUUCCUAGGGUGCAAAUGUGUUCUUUUGAGAUGAACAACUUACCUUAUGUUUUUCUUUUCAGAAUGCAUUGCCUUUUUGUGAAUGUAUACAUGCAGUACCUAAAAGCAUAUGUCUGAGCCUAAUUUGCUUUUUUCCCGUAAUAACCGUGGUCGGUAUUUGGGUCUAGACCACACAAGCUAACAAGCCAAUGUGAAAAACGGCGGGAAAACUUUUCUUUCGGGUGGCAACAAGUUAGCAAUUAGUAUUGUUACCAAAAAUGGAAUAUAAUAAUUGUAAUUUACUGGCCGUGCAGAUAGAUUAUAUUACGGCAGGCCGUGCAUUAGCCGCUUCAUAUAUUAAAUUAAGUGUUGGACAAAUCGAACAAACAUGAGUAGCCUAGUGGUUGAACCGUGAGUUCCUGAACUUGAGGUCUGCGGUUCGAGCUCCCAGCUUGCCCCUUUUUUUGAAUCAUUAUGCAAAUAUUUUGGUGUGGGUACUUGGGCCGAAGGCCUCGCUCGGCCGCGCAACCAGCGCACGAACUUGGGCUGAAGGCGUCGUUAGGGCGCGCAACCUAGCCAUUUAGUGGCAAGGUGGCCUACUUGAAGGGUUGG